CCGAGGGUAGCUCAGCGGUUAGAGCAGGGGACUCAUAAUCUUCUGGUCGUGGGUUCGAAUCCCACCCCUCGGA
Molecule: transfer RNA, 73 nt
Filed under: Phycisphaerae bacterium
Lineage: Bacteria; Pseudomonadati; Planctomycetota; Phycisphaerae
Also listed under: 2 other names
Description: tRNA-Ile
Rfam family: tRNA
About the family: Transfer RNA (tRNA) molecules are approximately 80 nucleotides in length. Their secondary structure includes four short double-helical elements and three loops (D, anti-codon, and T loops). Further hydrogen bonds mediate the characteristic L-shaped molecular structure. tRNAs have two regions of fundamental functional importance: the anti-codon, which is responsible for specific mRNA codon recognition, and the 3' end, to which the tRNAs corresponding amino acid is attached (by aminoacyl-tRNA synthetases). tRNAs cope with the degeneracy of the genetic code in two manners: having more than one tRNA (with a specific anti-codon) for a particular amino acid; and 'wobble' base-pairing, i.e. permitting non-standard base-pairing at the 3rd anti-codon position.
Source: RNAcentral